UCAGUUCGCGAGGAGCGCUCGUAUCGCGCAGUUAGUUUUCCCGUGUCGCUCUAGAUGAUCGAUCACGUGGGAAAGCCUGCGCUGGGUUCUCGUGAUAUCGAGGCGAGAAAGGGCCGAGGGGUUGGGAAUAAAUGUGCGCGCGUCCGUAAUGGACAACCCUAGUGGCGGAAGAGACAAUCGGUACGCGGGACUCGGUUACAGCAUGGGUAUGAUGGGGGGCGACGCUGGUACAGAGAUGUACGGACGACCGUCCACCUCUCAACUUGCAACUUCUCAAAUAGGCCGUGGUGGCGCCACCAUGAUGGCGACCGGCGCCACGACGCCCGGCAUCGGGGUGCAAAGGGGUGUGAAACGCUCCUCGGACGUCUGCUACGAGGACAACCCGAGACAGCCCAUCUCGCAGGGACAGAUGAUGCAAGACUGUGUUCCUGAGAACAUGGACGAGUCCUUCACGAAUUUGGGACAACCGAAAAAAUCGCCACCCUCCAAUGGCAAAAAGACCAAGGGAAGGGUCAAGAUCAAGAUGGAAUACAUUGACAACAAACUCAGGAGGUACACCACCUUCUCCAAGAGGAAGACAGGCAUUAUGAAGAAGGCCUACGAGCUUUCGACCCUGACAGGCACUCAGGUGAUGCUUCUCGUGGCGAGUGAAACUGGCCACGUCUAUACUUUCGCGACGCGAAAGCUCCAGCCGAUGAUAACGAGUGAGGCUGGCAAGGCGCUGAUCCAGACUUGUCUGAACAGUCCGGAUCCGCCGCCCUCGGGUUCUUCCGGAGACCAGCGAAUGUCAGCGACCGGCUUCGAGGAAACGGAACUGACGUACAACAUCGCCGACGAGGAGCAGAAAGAGGACGCAGCUUCCCCGAGGUCGGACAUCUGUGGCAACGAUAGCGAAGGGGAUAACGAUAGUGACGUGGAAUCGCCUGUGUCGAAAGACUCGAAGAACCACACAGGGAUGCCUUCCUUUUCGGCGGGAAUAAUGUACCAAAUGCCUCAGAACGUCGUUUAUUCGCCAAGUCCUGGAGUUUUGCUCAGUAUUGGUCAAAAUGGUCAACCCGUUCAAAUUUCACAAGAUGGGGGGACAUCAUCUGUAAAUUCUGCACAAGCCAAUCACCCAUUCAUCACGAUUCCUCUAAACGUAGCAAUGACUGCCGCCGGACUCUCUAUGCCGGUCACAUCGAAAUCAUUGUCUCCACCACGUUCCCUCACGUGUACUCCGAAUUCUGAUUUACCUUCGGACCUUAGCAAGGAUCGAAAGUGAAGUGAUAUAUAACAUAAAUAUAUAUAUAUUAUUAUAAUUUUCAAAUUUAAUUCACAAAGGCAAGUUAAAGCCAAGCUUCAUCGAAUCAUCAGCAAUCAUCGCAGGAAGCCAAGAUACUGAAAUCCUUCUUCGAUUCAUCGAAUAGACUGGAAAAGCAAUAAUUAACAACUGAAUUUAAUCAAGAUUCGGUUUCGAAUUAAUGAAAAGCUUCUAGGUUCAGAUUUUUAUGUACUUUCAGUAUUUUGAGACUCUCACAGAGCGCCUUUCCCACCAAGCGCCUCUUCUCGCCAAGUGCCUCUCUCUUCCAUUUCUUCUAAAUUAAGUAGGCGCCUUUAGUGCGGCGUUAGAUGCGCAUGCGCGAGCCGAUACUCAAAUAAUCCGCCAAUGCGUCUCAAGAGAUAUUUCCCGUCAAGCCGAAAGGGCGUGGCUUAAACCAAGCGGGCGCUUAGUGAGCACCUCGGUCCUGAGCACCUGGCGCUUGUACCGGAAAUGUUAAUCACGACGGAUCUUUUUUCCCAUUUUCGAAAGCAGGAACUGUCGUCGUCUUCCUGUAUGUAAUCGAGAAAAUAAAAACUCGAGGGAAUAAUCCCGUAUGGUGAAAGUGCAUUGACUUAAAAAUAACCCCCGCUGCGCUAAUUUCGGAUCCAAAGCAAGAUAACUUCUCUGCCACUCCAAAGAGCUUUACUAGUUAUCCCGGAGAAGUCUCUGGGAGAAAUAUAAUUCUGCUUUUCUACGCUCUGCUCGAAAUUAGAAUUCUAAAGGAAUUUUAAAUUUCCAAAAAUAUUCUAAAUUCAUUUUUCCUAUUUUAAAAAUGGUUAGGCUUUAGAAAUUUGUCGGAACAAUGAUUUACUAAGUAAUUUCUUUAUUUUAAUACAAAUUUGAUCACUUUUUUUAUAAGAAAAUUUUUUUUCUAUCUGUAUAAUAAUACUAAAAUGAAGAGGGUGGCACAGGAUCGAAAAAACCGGGAAAUGAGAGUAAAUUUACUUUUUACAUCACUAGUUUUAUACAUUUUUAGAAUAUAAAUCUAUUCAAUCACUUGAAACUUUUUUUUAAAUAUUAGGUUUGAAGAAACUGAAAAUUUUGGAUAAAAACUUUUUAAGUUGAUCUAGUGACCCAGUGUUAAAAAUUGAAUAAUUUAUUUUAUAAGACGAUUCUUAAUCUGUUUUAAAUCAAACGAUUUACAAAUUUGUACGCUAAAAGUUGAAUUUUUUUAUUCGAUUAUUGUUUUUUAAAAAGAAAAACGU
Molecule: RNA transcript, 2505 nt
Organism: Belonocnema kinseyi
Lineage: Eukaryota; Metazoa; Arthropoda; Insecta; Hymenoptera; Cynipidae
Gene: bs
Gene name: serum response factor homolog
Exons: 6
Source: RefSeq, a predicted model, not a curated record